UGACCUCGGAUCAGGUAGGAAUACCCGCUGAACUUAAGCAUAUCAAUAAGCGGAGGAAAAGAAACCAACAGGGAUUGCCCUAGUAACGGCGAGUGAAGCGGCAACAGCUCAAAUUUGAAAUCUGGCUACUUUGUAGUCCGAGUUGUAAUUUGUAGAGGAUGCUUUUGGUGAAGUGCUUUCUGAGUUCCCUGGAACGGGACGCCAGAGAGGGUGAGAGCCCCGUACAGUUAGCAACUGAUCCUUUGUAUAGCUCCUUCGACGAGUCGAGUAGUUUGGGAAUGCUGCUCUAAAUGGGAGGUAUAUCUCUUCUAAAGCUAAAUAUAGGCUAGAGACCGAUAGCGCACAAGUAGAGUGAUCGAAAGAUGAAAAGCACUUUGAAAAGAGAGUUAAACAGCACGUGAAAUUGUUGAAAGGGAAGCGCCUAUGACCAGACUUGUCUCUAUCAGUUUUGGUAGUUUUCGGACUGCUUUACUCUGUUAGUACAG
RNAcentral lists this ribosomal RNA (485 nucleotides) under Ambrosiella beaveri. RNAcentral describes it as "eukaryotic LSU rRNA". It matches the Rfam family "Eukaryotic large subunit ribosomal RNA", at positions 1 to 486 of the family's 3401-position model. The record is from RNAcentral. Lineage: Eukaryota; Fungi; Ascomycota; Sordariomycetes; Microascales; Ceratocystidaceae.